This 284-nucleotide long non-coding RNA is filed under the name Vigna radiata. RNAcentral describes it as "long non-coding RNA (VRAD_LNC006083)". Lineage: Eukaryota; Viridiplantae; Streptophyta; Magnoliopsida; Fabales; Fabaceae. The record is from RNAcentral.
AAGGGAUAGGGAGGUAGGACGAUCAAUUGUUUUUGCUUCUGUUUGGUAAUACAUUGCUAAUUGCUAGGGGAGGCUAGGGAUAGCAAGCCGGUAAUUAGUAAUAGGCUCUUUUCGCCGAGGGAUCGAGUUAAGGGUAGGCCAAGAAAGUGUGCAUAACAAUUAGCUAAUCAAGCACAUUAUACAAGAGGAGUAGACAAGAGGGAGCGGAUAAGAUGAAAUUGUCAACCCGUAACAACUUCAUUCAUCCAUAGUCUUUUUCGUCAAUUGAAUCAAAUACAUUGCAA